GGAGUCGGCCGGACAGUCGCUCCGGCCUUGCGCCGGGGAGGAAAGUCCGGGCUCCGCAGGGCAGGGUGCCAGGUAACGCCUGGGGGGCGCGAGCCUACGGAAAGUGCCACAGAAAACAUACCGCCUAAGCGCUUCGGCGCCGGCAAGGGUGAAAAGGUGCGGUAAGAGCGCACCGCGCGGCCGGUAACGGUUCGCGGCACGGUAAACCCCACUCGGAGCAAGACCAAAUAGGGAAGCAAGCGGGUUCGCCCGCAGCGCGCGGCCCGCGCGUGUUUCCGGGUAGGUCGCUCGAGGCGCACGGUGACGUGCGUCCCAGAUGGAUGACUGUUCCCGACAGAACCCGGCUUACAGGCCGGCUCCCACG
This 364-nucleotide RNase P RNA is filed under the name Wenzhouxiangella sp. XN24. RNAcentral describes it as "Bacterial RNase P class A". It matches the Rfam family "Bacterial RNase P class A". From Rfam's summary of the family: Ribonuclease P (RNase P) is a ubiquitous endoribonuclease, found in archaea, bacteria and eukarya as well as chloroplasts and mitochondria. The record is from Rfam by way of RNAcentral. Lineage: Bacteria; Pseudomonadati; Pseudomonadota; Gammaproteobacteria; Chromatiales; Wenzhouxiangellaceae.